This 497-nucleotide ribosomal RNA is filed under the name uncultured bacterium. Its description in RNAcentral is "partial 16S ribosomal RNA". It matches the Rfam family "Bacterial small subunit ribosomal RNA", at positions 28 to 507 of the family's 1533-position model. The record is from RNAcentral.
GAUGAACGCUGGCGGCGUGCCUAAUACAUGCAAGUCGAGCGAACGGACGAGAAGCUUGCUUUUCUGAUGUUAGCGGCGGACGGGUGAGUAACACGUGGAUAACCUACCUAUAAGACUGGGAUAACUUCGGGAAACCGGAGCUAAUACCGGAUAAUAUUUUGAACCGCAUUGUUCAAAAGUGAAAGACGGUCUUGCUGUCACUUAUAGAUGGAUCCGCGCUGCAUUAGCUAGUUGGUAAGGUAACGGCUUACCAAGGCAACGAUGCAUAGCCGACCUGAGAGGGGGAUCGGCCACACUGGAACUGAGACACGGUCCAGACUCCUACGGGAGGCAGCAGUAGGGAAUCUUCCGCAAUGGGCGAAAGCCUGACGGAGCAACGCCGCGUGAGUGAUGAAGGUCUUCGGAUCGUAAAACUCUGUUAUUAGGGAAGAACAUAUGUGUAAGUAACUGUGCACAUCUUGACGGUACCUAAUCAGAAAGCCACGGCUAACUACGUG